RNAcentral lists this ribosomal RNA (270 nucleotides) under uncultured bacterium. Its description in RNAcentral is "partial 16S ribosomal RNA". It matches the Rfam family "Bacterial small subunit ribosomal RNA", at positions 793 to 1055 of the family's 1533-position model. The record is from RNAcentral.
GUCCACGCCGUAAACGAUGACGACUAGGUGUGGGGUGGUUCAGUCCACUCCGUGCCGCAGCUAACGCAUUAAGUCGUCCGCCUGGGGAGUACGGCCGCAAGGUUGAAACUCAAAGGAAUUGACGGGGGCCCCGCACAAGCGGUGGAGCAUGUGGUUCAAUUCGAUGCAGAGCGAAGAACCUUACCUGGGCUUGACAUGCUGGAAGUAGAACCCCGAAAGGGGAACGACCUGUUAAGUCAGGAGCCAGCACAGGUGGUGCAUGGCUGUCGU